This 340-nucleotide ribosomal RNA is filed under the name uncultured bacterium. RNAcentral describes it as "partial 16S ribosomal RNA". It matches the Rfam family "Bacterial small subunit ribosomal RNA", at positions 355 to 687 of the family's 1533-position model. The record is from RNAcentral.
UGGGGAAUAUUGCACAAUGGGCGCAAGCCUGAUGCAGCCAUGCCGCGUGUAUGAAGAAGGCCUUCGGGUUGUAAAGUACUUUCAGCGGGGAGGAAGGUGUUGUGGUUAAUAACCACAGCAAUUGACGUUACCCGCAGAAGAAGCACCGGCUAACUCCGUGCCAGCAGCCGCGGUAAUACGGAGGGUGCAAGCGUUAAUCGGAAUUACUGGGCGUAAAGCGCACGCAGGCGGUUUGUCAAGUCGGAUGUGAAAUCCCCGGGCUCAACCUGGGAACUGCAUCCGAAACUGGCAGGCUUGAGUCUUGUAGAGGGGGGUAGAAUUCCAGGUGUAGCGGUGAAAU